UUCCUACAUCAGCUAAAAAUAAGUUUCCGAGGCCCGUUGUAAUUUCUGUGUUUGCUCCUUUGGACUUGUCAUUCAUUUUCAGACCUGAAAAUCUCAUUCUUCCUUCUCUUUCCAAGAUUGGUAUUUUUAAGGCACCGCAAUGGCACAGAAGACAAUGCUUCUAUCACCAGCCUCUUGCUUCUCUGACGCACAAAAGAAUGUCUGGCUCGAGAAGUAUUCACCCAAUGAUUAUAGGAUUAACUGCAACCUGCAGGAAGAAUAAAGAGGUUUUGGAGUCCAUUGUUGAAUGAUUUGACCUAUGGCACAAAUGCUACCACUAGAAAUUCCAUUGUAAUCAUCCGGUGCAGAGUGGAUCCUGCUCUGGGAAAGAAGGCAGCAAAGCAGUGAACACCCAGCGAAUGUUCCAAGAAGUGAUGGGGGAGUUCUGAGAUCAGCAAAGAACUUCUCUCCACCACGUGGAAGCCUGAGUUAAGAUACCUCUUGAGAAAUUUUAAUGCUGAUUUUCCAUAAAACCCCCAUUCUCUAAAGUAUGGACAUUAGUUUAAUAAUAGUGUAUCAAUCUUUCUUUGUUAAUUGUAACAAAUGUACCAUACUCAGAUGUUAUCAAAAGGGAAACUGGUUGAGAUGUACAUGGGAACUCUGCACUGUCUUUGCAAUAUGUCUGC
Molecule: long non-coding RNA, 665 nt
Organism: Ailuropoda melanoleuca (giant panda)
Lineage: Eukaryota; Metazoa; Chordata; Mammalia; Carnivora; Ursidae
Exons: 4
Source: RefSeq, a predicted model, not a curated record